GUCUCUCUAAGAGAAUUACAUAUCUGUGAUGGCCCCCUCCCUCUUCUGCAAUUAUUUCCAAGUCACACCUGCCAAGCUGUAGGGAAGCAUUCCCAUUGUUUGUGGGUGAGAACACAGUCAGUCAGCUAUGCAUCGCACUCUUAAAACCCCAGAAGGACUGGGGCACACGGAUGUAAGCUGAACAGAUCUCUCUAGGAAAAGAACUGGUGGAAGAAACACAGAAAUGUGCAUGGAGGAGUACCAUUCUUUCCCCACUCCCUGACAAAGACAUUAGUCAUGGGACAGAGACAGGUUGGAAAGCCCAUCUGAACCAUCUAUGAAUGUAAAGGAUUUGGUACCUAGAAGACAUGGGGUCCACAUCGGUGUCUUAGAGCAGAGAGCUAUAAGACUAGCCUGCAUGGCUGUCCUACCUGUUCUUCACAAUCCCACAGAGCAUAUCCUGAUGGCCAAAACCUCUGUGAUGCACUAUAUAAACAAGCAGGAAGGUGCACAAUCAUCUCCCUUCUGCCUGGAAGCCACCAAGCAUUGGACAUACCACCAACAUGGGAUAAUCCCAAUAGCUCUUCACCUCCCAUUUGUCAGCAACAAGUUAGCAUGCUUCCUGAGCAGAUAGUCAGGCCACCACCUGAUCCCCUUUACAUUGGUUCCUCUGAUCCCCAGGAUGAUUUACAAGUUACAAGGGGACACAUUCACCAUCGUUCUCAUAACUCCAUACAGACUGAGGCAGUUUUGGCCGAUAGACCUACUAAAAAUAUCCAUCUACCUUCUGAGCUAGCUCCAAGACUGUCCUGACCUGAUCUCCCAGCUCCAUAGUCAGACACUCCAUCCAGGCCUGAAAUCCCUGCACCUGAUGGCAUGACUGUUGGCUAAUUAAGUACCACAGAUAGACACUGCUCCUGGAAGAUCCAGGAAAUCCUGACACAGAUGUUUUCCUACUUUACCAGAAGAACAUAAUCCUAUACAUGGAAGAAGUUCUUGAUUAUGGGCAAUCCAACAUGGUCUAGAUCUGUUCCAGGCCUUGAUACCAAACAUAUUUGACUACUUAUUGCACUUAAACCCUAGCUAUUUGUGGGUGAGGAUAGGGGGUGUUAAUGUUUACAAAGAUCAAAGUAUGUGUCCUGUAUUUUUAUUAUUAUUAAAUAUUUUUAUUUAAAAAGUCAAUGUUUUAUUUUGGCUUGGUUUGACAUUGAACCCCAUCCACCUGAGCUACUGUGGUGUCUCAUGGGAGUUGAGUUUUGCUGCCUUUAUGGGCUGAACUCUCUGGUCAGACUACAUCUCCAAUGAUGCACCAUGAUUAUGGGAUUCCCAUGUUGAAUUAUUGCAGUGCAUCCGGAGGGGUGGGGAACUGCAGUGAAUUAUGGGAGAUGUAGUCCAAAUUAGGAGCCCUACCCAUAGAUGAGAAUGGGGACAGGAAGCACCCAGAGUACAACUCCUGUGAAGCACCAUAGGUACUCAGGCAGUCCAGAUUAAUUCAAACUGACUUAAAGCUAAAUAUUUGGAGUCAGUUUGACAAGCCAAAAUGUUUUGACUCAAGUUGAUCCUACUUGAAGCAAAAUGUUAUCCCAAAGGAAAAAUGAAAAAUUUGGUCAAAAUAACAAAAAACAUUCUUGGAAAAUGUGAUUUUUUUGGAAACUGCAUUUUCAAUUGAAAACAUAUUUUGAUAGAAAACUUUGACCAGCUCUAAUUAGCUGUUUAUUCUGUGAGCUGUUUGGUAAGACAGGAAGAUCUUUCAAUAAAUGAUGAUGAUGAUGAUGAUAAUUUAAAAAAUCCUACCUUGGAACUAAAUGCUGAAUUUCGUUCCAAGGGUAAUAAACAAUAGACAACCACUAUUUGAACAGAGAUUGCUAAAAACCAUGGAAUCUUAGCCAGUGUAUUUGUCAGCCUGAAGGGAUUCACUGAAGUAAACAUCUGAAACAGUAACUGGGUGUAAGAAACAUCCCACUGAUGGAGGUUCCUGAAAAUAAAGUAAAGUUUUUUGCAUGGGGAGGUUUAUAGAAUGCACACUGAAGGUGUAAACAUGAAUACUUUCAAACUCUCUAUUAUGUUUCCAGUAUGUCUUGGUUUCU
This is a long non-coding RNA of Mauremys mutica (yellowpond turtle), 2066 nucleotides long. RefSeq lists it as uncharacterized. Lineage: Eukaryota; Metazoa; Chordata; Testudines; Geoemydidae. The transcript is spliced from 3 exons. The record is from RefSeq and is a predicted model, not a curated record.